AUACCAUUCUUGGCCUUUUGGCGAAGAUCAAGUGUAGUAUUUGUUCUUAUCAGUUUAAUAUUUGAUCAGUGACUCAAUGGUUCUCAACAAUAUUAAAUUACUUUUUUGAGGGUGAGAGCUUGCUAUUGGGCUUUUCAAGUGUUGCCUUU
Molecule: small nuclear RNA, 149 nt
Filed under: Medicago truncatula (barrel medic)
Lineage: Eukaryota; Viridiplantae; Streptophyta; Magnoliopsida; Fabales; Fabaceae
Description: sRNA gene8332
Rfam family: U2 spliceosomal RNA
About the family: U2 is a small nuclear RNA (snRNA) component of the spliceosome (involved in pre-mRNA splicing). Complementary binding between U2 snRNA (in an area lying towards the 5' end but 3' to hairpin I) and the branchpoint sequence (BPS) of the intron results the bulging out of an unpaired adenosine, on the BPS, which initiates a nucleophilic attack at the intronic 5' splice site, thus starting the first of two transesterification reactions that mediate splicing.
Source: Rfam by way of RNAcentral